This 253-nucleotide ribosomal RNA is filed under the name uncultured bacterium. RNAcentral describes it as "partial 16S ribosomal RNA". It matches the Rfam family "Bacterial small subunit ribosomal RNA", at positions 524 to 776 of the family's 1533-position model. The record is from RNAcentral.
UACAUAGGGGGCAAGCGUUAUCCGGAAUUAUUGGGUGUAAAGGGUGCGUAGACGGAGAAACAAGUUGGUUGUGAAAUCCCUCGGCUCAACCGAGGAGCUGCAACCAAAACUAUUUCCCUUGAGUGUCGGAGAGGAAAGUGGAAUUCCUAGUGUAGCGGUGAAAUGCGUAGAUAUUAGGAGGAACACCAGUGGCGAAGGCGACUUUCUGGACGAUAACUGACGUUGAGGCACGAAAGUGUGGGGAGCAAACAGG